Molecule: ribosomal RNA, 93 nt
Filed under: Comamonas sp. JC664
Lineage: Bacteria; Pseudomonadati; Pseudomonadota; Betaproteobacteria; Burkholderiales; Comamonadaceae
Source: RNAcentral
CCACCCGUUCCCAUCCCGAACACGGAAGUUAAGCCCUCCAGAGCCGAUGGUACUUCGCGGGAAACCGCGCGGGAGAGUAGGUCGCUGCCGGAU